CCUACGGGGCGCAGCAGUGGGGAAUAUUGCACAAUGGGGGAAACCCUGAUGCAGCGACGCCGCGUGAGUGAUGAAGUAUUUCGGAACGUAAAGCCCUAUCAGCAGGGAAGAUAAUGACGGUAUCUGACCAAGAAGCACCGGCUAACUCCGUGCCAGCAGCCGCGGUAAUACGUCGGGCGCCAGCGUUAUUCGGAUUGACUGGGCGUAAAGGGCGCGUAGGCGGGAUCCCAAGUCUGGAGUGAAAUCCCAGGGCUUAACCACGGAACUGCUGUUGAAACUGUUCUGCUGGAGGGUGGGAGAGGUAAGCGGAAGUCUUGGGGGAGGGGUGAAAUGCGUAGAGAGUAAGAGGAACACUGGUUGCGAAGGCGACUUGCUAGAACAUAACUGACGCUGAGGCGCGAAAGCGUGGGGAGCAAACAGGAUUAGAUACCCGAGUAGUC
This 440-nucleotide ribosomal RNA is filed under the name uncultured bacterium. Its description in RNAcentral is "partial 16S ribosomal RNA". It matches the Rfam family "Bacterial small subunit ribosomal RNA", at positions 338 to 795 of the family's 1533-position model. The record is from RNAcentral.